Molecule: ribosomal RNA, 767 nt
Filed under: Acinetobacter sp.
Lineage: Bacteria; Pseudomonadati; Pseudomonadota; Gammaproteobacteria; Moraxellales; Moraxellaceae
Description: bacterial SSU rRNA
Rfam family: Bacterial small subunit ribosomal RNA
Source: RNAcentral
CCAGGUGUAGCGGUGAAAUGCGUAGAGAUCUGGAGGAAUACCGAUGGCGAAGGCAGCCAUCUGGCCUAAUACUGACGCUGAGGUACGAAAGCAUGGGGAGCAAACAGGAUUAGAUACCCUGGUAGUCCAUGCCGUAAACGAUGUCUACUAGGAGGUGGUGCCUUUGAGGCGUUAGUUGCGCAGCUAACGCGAUAAGUAGACCGCCUGGGGAGUACGGUCGCAAGAUUAAAACUCAAAUGAAUUGACGGGGGCCCGCACAAGCGGUGGAGCAUGUGGUUUAAUUCGAUGCAACGCGAAGAACCUUACCUGGCCUUGACAUCCUAGAAACUUUCCAGAGAUGGAUUGGUGCCUUCGGGAAUUUAGAUACAGGUGCUGCAUGGCUGUCGUCAGCUCGUGUUGUGAAAUGUUGGGUUAAGUCCCGCAACGAGCGCAACCCUUUUCCUUACUUGCCAGCAUUUCGGAUGGGAACUUUAAGGAUACUGCCAGUGACAAACUGGAGGAAGGUGGGGAUGACGUCAAGUCAUCAUGGCCCUUACGGCCAGGGCUACACACGUGCUACAAUGGUCGGUACAAAGGGAAGCUACCCAGCGAGAGCAAGCUAAUCUCAAAAAGCCGAUCGUAGUCCGGAUUGGAGUCUGCAACUCGACUCCAUGAAGUCGGAAUCGCUAGUAAUUGCGGAUCAGAAAUCCGCGGGGAAUACGUUCCCGGGCCUUGUACACACCCCCCGUCCCCCCCUGGGAGUUUGGUGCACCAGAAGUAAGUAACCU